GGAUCAUUAUAGAGUCUAAACAACUCCCAAACCCCUGUGAACAUACCACCGUUGCUUCGGCGGGUACGCCCCGGGCGCCAUCGCGUGCCCCGGAACCAGGCGCCCGCCGGGGGACUUCAAACUCUUGUUUUACCAUGUAUCGUCUGAGUGGAUUAUUAAAUAAAUCAAAACUUUCAACAACGGAUCUCUUGGCUCUGGCAUCGAUGAAGAACGCAGCGAAAUGCGAUAAGUAAUGCGAAUUGCAGAAUUCAGUGAAUCAUCGAAUCUUUGAACGCACAUUGCGCCCGCUAGUAUUCUGGCGGGCAUGCCUGUCUGAGCGUCAUUUCAACCCUCGCGCCCGGCUUCUUGCCGGAUGCGGUGUUGGGGAUCGGCCUGCCGUCUGACGGCGGGCCGGCCCCGAAACAUAGUGGCGACCACGCCGUAGCCUCCUCUGCGUAGUAACAUAUCACCUCGCAGGUGGAGAGCGGUGCGGUCACGCCGUAAAACCCCCAACUAUACCAAGGUUGACCUC
Molecule: ribosomal RNA, 511 nt
Filed under: Acremonium sp. EXP0546F
Lineage: Eukaryota; Fungi; Ascomycota; Sordariomycetes; Hypocreales; Bionectriaceae
Description: eukaryotic LSU rRNA
Rfam family: 5.8S ribosomal RNA (bases 169-322)
Source: RNAcentral